Molecule: non-coding RNA, 48 nt
Organism: Schistosoma curassoni
Lineage: Eukaryota; Metazoa; Platyhelminthes; Trematoda; Strigeidida; Schistosomatidae
Source: Rfam
ACCCAGCUGACGAGUUUCAAACAGGACGAAACGCGCGUCAAACUGGAU